RNAcentral lists this ribosomal RNA (301 nucleotides) under uncultured bacterium. Its description in RNAcentral is "partial 16S ribosomal RNA". It matches the Rfam family "Bacterial small subunit ribosomal RNA", at positions 509 to 809 of the family's 1533-position model. The record is from RNAcentral.
CAGUAGCCGCGGGAAUACGAAGGGGGCUAGCGUUGUUCGGAUUUACUGGGCGUAAAGCGCACGUAGGCGGACUUUUAAGUCAGGGGUGAAAUCCCGGGGCUCAACCCCGGAACUGCCUUUGGUACUGGAAGUCUUGAGUAUGGUAGAGGUGAGUGGAAUUCCGAGUGUAGAGGUGAAAUUCGUAGAUAUUCGGAGGAACACCAGUGGCGAAGGCGGCUCACUGGACCAUUACUGACGCUGAGGUGCGAAAGCGUGGGGAGCAAACAGGAUUAGAUACCCCAGUAGUCCCUGUCUCUUAUAA